This 292-nucleotide ribosomal RNA is filed under the name uncultured bacterium. RNAcentral describes it as "partial 16S ribosomal RNA". It matches the Rfam family "Bacterial small subunit ribosomal RNA", at positions 505 to 796 of the family's 1533-position model. The record is from RNAcentral.
GUGCCAGCAGCCGCGGUAAGACGUAGGGUGCAAGCGUUGCUCGGAAUUACUGGGCGUAAAGGGCGUGUAGGCGGCUGCGCAAGUCGCGUGUGAAAGCCCCCGGCUCAACCGGGGAAUUGCGCGCGAAACUGCGUGGCUAGAGGACGGUAGGGGACAGUGGAACUCCAGGUGGAGCGGUGAAAUGCGUAGAGAUCUGGAGGAACGCCGGAGGCGAAAGCGACUGUCUGGGCCGUUCCUGACGCUGAGGCGCGAAAGCUAGGGGAGCAAACGGGAUUAGAUACCCGCGUAGUCC